Molecule: microRNA precursor, 90 nt
Filed under: Pongo abelii (Sumatran orangutan)
Lineage: Eukaryota; Metazoa; Chordata; Mammalia; Primates; Hominidae
Description: miRNA
Source: RNAcentral
AGAUUGCAUUAGGUUGGUGCAAAAGUGAUUGUGGUUUUUGCUGUUAAAUGACAAAAACUGCAAUCACUUUUGCACCAACCUAAUAAAUUU